CAGUAGCCACGGGAAUACAGAGGGUGCGAGCGUUAAUCGGAUUUACUGGGCGUAAAGCGUGCGUAGGCGGCUUCUUAAGUCGGAUGUGAAAUCCCUGAGCUUAACUUAGGAAUUGCAUUCGAUACUGGGAAGCUAGAGUAUGGGAGAGGAUGGUAGAAUUCCAGGUGUAGCUGUGAAAUGCGUAGAGAUCUGGAGGAAUACCGAUGGCGAAGGCAGCCAUCUGGCCUAAUACUGACGCUGAGGUACGAAAGCAUGGGGAGCAAACAGGAUUAGAUACCCCAGUAGUCCCUGUCUCUUAUAC
Molecule: ribosomal RNA, 301 nt
Filed under: uncultured bacterium
Lineage: Bacteria
Description: partial 16S ribosomal RNA
Rfam family: Bacterial small subunit ribosomal RNA
Source: RNAcentral